CCUACGGGAGGCAGCAGUCGAGGAUCUUCGGCAAUGGGCGCAAGCCUGACCGAGCGACGCCGCGUGCGCGAUGAAGGCCUUCGGGUUGUAAAGCGCUGUCGAGGGGGAGGAAGCCGCAAGGUUGACCUAUCCCUGGAGGAAGGACGGGCUAACUUCGUGCCAGCAGCCGCGGUAAUACGAAGGGGGCGAGCGUUGUUCGGAAUUAUUGGGCGUAAAGGGCGCGUAGGCGGCCAUGCGUGUCUUCCGUGAAAUCCCUCGGCUUAACUGAGGACGUGCGGAAGAAACUGCAAGGCUCGAGUCCGGGAGAGAGGGACAUGGAACUCCGGGUGUAGUGGUGAAAUGCGUAGAUAUCCGGAAGAACACCAAAGGCGAAGGCAGUGUCCUGGCUGGUACCUGACGCUGAGGGGCGAAAGCUAGGGGAGCGAACGGGAUUAGAUACCCCGGUAGUCCUAGCCGUAAACGAUGACCACUAGGUGUGCGGGGUAUCAACCCCCCGCGUGCCGCAGCUAACGCAGUAAGUGGUCCGCCUGGGGAGUACGGUCGCAAGAUUAAAACUCAAAGGAAUUGACGG
Molecule: ribosomal RNA, 571 nt
Filed under: uncultured bacterium
Lineage: Bacteria
Description: bacterial SSU rRNA
Rfam family: Bacterial small subunit ribosomal RNA
Source: RNAcentral